UGCAUAUUCCCAUUUCCAGUGACCUGCCUUGGAAUAUGAACAGGAAAAUCCAGGUUGGCUGGCUCCUCUGGCUGAUGGCAUGUUGAGGCACAUGGGCCAGUGGCAACGGGGGCAUCCAAUCCAGAGAGGGCCGCUCUAGAGGCCAGGCCACCAGCAUCAUGGGCCAGUGUGUCACCAAGUGUAAGAAUCCCUCAUCAACUCUGGGUAGCAAGAAUGGAGACCGUGACCCCAGCAGCAAGUCACAUGGUAGGCGGAGUGCAAGCCACCGUGAGGAACAGCUGCCAGCCUGUGGCAAGCCAGGUGGAGAUAUCCUUGUCAAUGGGACCAAGAAGGCAGAGGCUGCUACUGAGGCCUGCCAGCUGCCAACAUCCUCCGGAGAUGCUGGGAGGGAGCCCAAGUCAAAUGCCGAGGAGUCUUCUUUGCAGAGGUUGGAAGAACUGUUCAGGCGCUAUAAGGAUGAACGGGAGGAUGCAAUUUUGGAGGAAGGCAUGGAGCGCUUUUGCAAUGAUCUAUGUGUGGACCCCACGGAAUUUCGAGUGCUGCUUUUGGCUUGGAAGUUCCAGGCUGCUACCAUGUGCAAAUUUACCAGGAAGGAAUUUUUUGAUGGCUGCAAAGCAAUAAGUGCAGACAGCAUUGAUGGGAUCUGUGCACGGUUCCCUAGCCUCUUAACAGAAGCCAAACAAGAGGAUAAAUUCAAGGAUCUCUACCGGUUUACAUUUCAGUUUGGCCUGGACUCUGAAGAAGGGCAGCGGUCACUGCAUCGAGAAAUAGCCAUUGCCCUGUGGAAACUCGUCUUUACCCAGAACAAUCCUCCGGUAUUGGACCAGUGGCUAAACUUCCUAACAGAGAACCCCUCGGGGAUCAAGGGCAUCUCCAGGGACACUUGGAAUAUGUUCCUUAACUUCACUCAGGUGAUUGGCCCUGACCUCAGCAACUACAGCGAAGAUGAGGCCUGGCCAAGUCUCUUCGAUACCUUUGUGGAGUGGGAAAUGGAGCGAAGGAAAAGAGAAGGGGAAGGGAGAGGUACACUCAGCUCAGGGCCCGAGGGCUUGUGUCCCGAGGAGCAGACUUAGUGGCUCUGUCUCAGGAGCAGCAGCAAGGAUCUGCCUGCUGCCCUGCAGUCAACCAAGGAAUUGGACCUUUCUGGAAAUUACUGAAGAUCCGGAUAUUUUCUACUUCACACCUUUCUCUGCCUUGUAUCUGAAAGGGCUCUAAAAUGCUGUAUCCUGUUUUAGGCACUUUCUUCACUUUUGGUUAUUUCCCUUUUUUGGGGAGGGGUCCCCCAAAAUAUUUGAACCUGGCUACAUGUUGUAUAUUUUUUUUUUUUGAAGCCUUCAGAUAGAAUAAGCCUGCCACUUCUUGCACAAGUUAGACUUUUUUUUUUUUGGUGGGGGAGGGUGUAGAGCAGGUAGUAGGGAAUGGGACAGUUAGGUUGAAUUAUCAUUAUAAAAUGAUAGUGCCAGAUCUCAGUUUUGCAUAUUCUUGUUUUUCAGGGCAGGUCUGUACUGUGUGUAGUGCUGUUUACAUGGUUGAAUUUAGGUUGUAAUAAUUACUUUUAAAGAUUUACACAGAGUUGAAUUUUGAAUUAGCAGUGUUAACUGUUAACCACAUUGCAUUAAUUCCCAGGCGAUUUAAAGUUCUUGGAGAGCCAAGGCCGGCCAAGAGCGUUUGUAGUCUGGUGACGACCCCCUUUUAAGCUAAUUUAUCUGAAACUCUUUAUUUUUCUCACUUCUUGCUCAUUCCUUCUUUGACCUAUUGCAUUUCAUGUUGAGUUUAUCCAUCAACAUGCUACACCUGUCAGUCAAGUGAGCAGUUUUGUUAGAACACAUUGUACUGAGAACCACUUAAGCAUUGAAUGCAGAGAAAGCAGUGCUACCUCAGUUUUGCUGGAAGUAGACUUUGAUAGUUUUCUUUCUUUGAUGAAUUUUCUGUAUUUUCAUGUUGUAAGUGGAAAUACGUUUUUUUUUUUGUUUUUUUUUUUCAUUUGCUUUGGAGCCAAAGUUUCUGUUCCUGGUGGUCGGAAAACUGUGCCUGCCGGCCAACUGACUUGAAGGAAAACUGUGGUGCUGGAGUUAUCACAUCCUUCUCCCUAUUCCUCUCUUUGAAAACUGAGCCUGCUCUUCUACCACCCACCUUCCCUACAACUUUCAACAUAAAUCUUGCAUAUUGCCAAAGGAAGCCAUUCAGCAGCUGCUGUGGUUUUUUCCCCCAACACAUUUAUUCUGCGAGAAGUGUCUUCCUUCUGACCCUGGUCCUAGCCCCUUGAGUCUGUUAUUAAUUGCUCUUACCUGUUGCACUAAUGGAUAUGAUUCUAGGUUUCAAAGGAGGGAUUUGAAGCAAUAGGCAAAUGGGGCUUGGAUAAACUGGUCCUACAAAUAAGAUACCCUGCCUUAUCCCGCUGAGGUGAUGAGUCCACUGCUCAUGUGACCCUCCACCUUUGUGGAUUCCUCUUGGUUUGUGACCAGCGUGUCUGUUUCUUGAAGUUGUACAAACUUGUUGACAAAAGUCAAUACUUUGAUUUGUAUUCUCUGCACUGUUGCACUCUCCAAAUGGCUCCUUGAAUAUUUUUAUUAACUUGUUACACACAUUAUUGUCUACUUUUUUAUUUGGAAGGUAAUCUGCUGUUGGACUUAAUAAAUUUGUUUACUUGACUAAUGACAGUUCUGCAAGAAACAAAAAACCACCCCCCAAACAAAAAAAUAUCUGUGACUUCAUUCUGGGGUGAGCUUUACCCACCAGGAGCCUCUUCCAACAUAAUGGAUGGCAAAUCCUGUGCUUUGGAAAACCGUCCAGAUCAUACAGGAUCCCCAGCUACAAAUAUGGAUGUUGAUCUCCCACUCACCAAGUUU
Molecule: RNA transcript, 2849 nt
Organism: Budorcas taxicolor (takin)
Lineage: Eukaryota; Metazoa; Chordata; Mammalia; Artiodactyla; Bovidae
Gene: DCUN1D3
Gene name: defective in cullin neddylation 1 domain containing 3
Exons: 4
Source: RefSeq, a predicted model, not a curated record